AGAAAAGUGAAAAAAUUUUGUUUUAUGUUCUAAUCAGCCCUACAAUUUUGAUAAUUUUUUAAGAAAAUGGCUUUUUUAAAGAAAUGUAUUUAAAUCUGGUGGUGGGUUGGUAAAUUUGCAAUUAUUUAUGAACUCAUUAAGUAUUAAGAAUGUUGUUUACCUGUCCUGGAAAUCUCAUUUAUACAGACCAAAAUCCACACCCUUAUCACAGCCCAGUGCCAAUGGAGUCCAGACGGAAGGACUUGACUAUGACAGGCUGAAGCAGGACAUUUUAGAUGAAAUGAGAAAAGAGUUAACUAAGCUAAAAGAAGAGCUCAUUGAUGCAAUCAGGCAGGAACUGAGCAAGUCAAAUACUGCAUAGAGGAACAGACUAAGGAGAGAUAGGACUUUAAUCUGGAGGAAAAAUAUCCUGCAAACAACAACUGUUCACAACAGCAAACCCCUACAUUUUAUGAGCUGUAAGAAGAAAAUGGAGACAAACAGAAGGAGGGAAAAACCAACCUACUCUGAAAGCCUUCAGACAUUAUGACUCUGGUGAUAAGCUCUUUCCCUCUCCGUUUGCUGCUUUUUUUCUGGCCUUUACAACAGAAUGGAAGAGAAUCAUUUAAGAGUUCCUGUAACAGUUAUGCAGAAAAUACUAAAACCCAUCAGGCAAGAUCACCACGCAUUGAAAUAUUUUCAUAUCAAGAUAAAGUCGCACAUUUUCCACAAUACA
This 715-nucleotide small RNA is filed under the name Pan troglodytes (chimpanzee). RNAcentral's name for it is "retained intron". Lineage: Eukaryota; Metazoa; Chordata; Mammalia; Primates; Hominidae. The record is from RNAcentral.